RNAcentral lists this ribosomal RNA (253 nucleotides) under uncultured bacterium. RNAcentral describes it as "partial 16S ribosomal RNA". It matches the Rfam family "Bacterial small subunit ribosomal RNA", at positions 524 to 776 of the family's 1533-position model. The record is from RNAcentral.
UACGUAGGGGGCGAGCGUUGUCCGGAAUUAUUGGGCGUAAAGAGCGUGUAGGCGGUUCGGUAAGUCUGCCGUGAAAACCUGGGGCUCAACCCCGGGCGUGCGGUGGAUACUGCCGGGCUAGAGGGUGGUAGAGGCGAGUGGAAUUCCUGGUGUAGCGGUGAAAUGCGCAGAUAUCAGGAAGAACACCCGUGGCGAAAGCGGCUCUCUGGAACGGUACUGACGCUGAGACGCGAAAGCGUGGGGAGCGAACAGG